This 23-nucleotide microRNA is filed under the name Mus musculus (house mouse). Its description in RNAcentral is "mmu-miR-344d-3-5p". Its record names the gene mmu-miR-344d-3-5p. Lineage: Eukaryota; Metazoa; Chordata; Mammalia; Rodentia; Muridae. The record is from miRBase by way of RNAcentral.
AGUCAGGCUAGUGGUUAUACUCC